UGGCUAACUCCGUGCCAGCAGCCGCGGUAAUACGGAGGGGGCUAGCGUUAUUCGGAAUUAUUGGGCGUAAAGGGCGCGUAGGCUGGUUAAUAAGUUAAAAGUGAAAUCCCGAGGCUUAACCUUGGAAUUGCUUUUAAAACUAUUAAUCUAGAGAUUGAAAGAGGAUAGAGGAAUUCCUAAUGUAGAGGUGAAAUUCGUAAAUAUUAGGAGGAACACCAGUGGCGAAGGCGUCUAUCUAGUUCAAAUCUGACGC
This 253-nucleotide ribosomal RNA is filed under the name uncultured bacterium. RNAcentral's name for it is "partial 16S ribosomal RNA". It matches the Rfam family "Bacterial small subunit ribosomal RNA", at positions 494 to 746 of the family's 1533-position model. The record is from RNAcentral.